Molecule: ribosomal RNA, 401 nt
Filed under: uncultured bacterium
Lineage: Bacteria
Description: bacterial SSU rRNA
Rfam family: Bacterial small subunit ribosomal RNA
Source: RNAcentral
UCGGGAAUUUUGGGCAAUGGGCGAAAGCCUGACCAGCAACGCCGCGUGAGGGAUGAAGUAUUUCGGUAUGUAAACCUCGAAAGAAUGGGAAGAAUAAAUGACGGUACCAUUUAUAAGCUCCGGCUAACUACGUGCCAGCAGCCGCGGUAAUACGUAGGGAGCAAGCGUUGUUCGGAUUUACUGAGCGUAAAGGGCGCGUAGGCGGCGCGGUAAGUCACUUGUGAAAUCUCUGAGCUUAACUCAGAACGGCCAAGUGAUACUGCUGUGCUAGAGUGCGGAAGAGGCUACCGGAAUUCUUGGUGUAGCGGUGAAAUGCGUAGAUAUCAAGAGGAACACCUGAGGCGAAGGCAGGUUGCUGGGCCGACACUGACGCUGAUGCGCGAAAGCCAGGGGAGCAAACG